CUCUUAUCAAGAGUGGCAGAGGGACUGGCCCGAUGACGCCCAGCAACCGUUCCGGAAAGGAAUUGGUGCUAAAUCCUGCAAACAAAUUUUUUGUUUGAAAGAUAAGAG
This 108-nucleotide non-coding RNA is filed under the name Neobacillus bataviensis. RNAcentral's name for it is "Bacillus bataviensis SAM-I sequence". It matches the Rfam family "SAM riboswitch aptamer (S box leader)". Rfam says of the family: The SAM riboswitch is found upstream of a number of genes which code for proteins involved in methionine or cysteine biosynthesis in Gram-positive bacteria. The SAM riboswitch acts at the level of transcription termination control. The record is from RNAcentral. RNAcentral also lists the same sequence under 1 other name. Lineage: Bacteria; Bacillati; Bacillota; Bacilli; Caryophanales; Bacillaceae.